This is a non-coding RNA of Pelobates cultripes (western spadefoot toad), 210 nucleotides long. The record is from the annotation of a GenBank genome assembly. Lineage: Eukaryota; Metazoa; Chordata; Amphibia; Anura; Pelobatidae.
GUUCCAAAAUGGGCUAGGGUUAGGGGUAAGGUCUAAGGUUUAGGGUUAAUUCACAGAUCCCACUCAGUGUCAUGUACUGGGUCCAGUGCUGGAUAUGCAUUUAUUUUAGGUAUCUGAUUAGUGGAAGUCAUAUCAGUAGAAUUUUUUUUUUCACAGCUUCCUCCCCCCACCCCAAAUUACCCAAUGUCAGUUUACGCAGACCACGUCCAG